This 253-nucleotide ribosomal RNA is filed under the name uncultured bacterium. RNAcentral's name for it is "partial 16S ribosomal RNA". It matches the Rfam family "Bacterial small subunit ribosomal RNA", at positions 524 to 776 of the family's 1533-position model. The record is from RNAcentral.
UACGUAGGGAGCAAGCGUUGUCCGGAAUCAUUGGGCGUAAAGCGCGCGUAGGCGGCUUUGUAAGUUAGAGGUGAAAGCCCGGGGCUCAACCCCGGAAUUGCCUUUAAGACUGCAUCGCUUGAAUCCGGGAGAGGUGAGUGGAAUUCCGAGUGUAGAGGUGAAAUUCGUAGAUAUUCGGAAGAACACCAGUGGCGAAGGCGGCUCACUGGACCGGCAUUGACGCUGAGGUGUGAAAGCGUGGGGAGCAAACAGG